RNAcentral lists this ribosomal RNA (426 nucleotides) under uncultured bacterium. RNAcentral's name for it is "partial 16S ribosomal RNA". It matches the Rfam family "Bacterial small subunit ribosomal RNA", at positions 354 to 796 of the family's 1533-position model. The record is from RNAcentral.
GUGAUGAAUUUUCCGCAAUGGGCGAAAGCCUGACGGAGCAAUGCCGCGUGAAGGAUGAAGGCCUAUGGGUUGUAAACUUCUUUUCUCAGAAAAGAAUUAUGACGGUAUCUGAGGAAUAAGCAUCGGCUAACUCUGUGCCAGCAGCCGCGGUAAGACAGAGGAUGCAAGCGUUAUCCGGAAUGAUUGGGCGUAAAGCGUCUGUAGGUUGUUUAAAAAGUAUUCUGUCAAAGAUUAGGGCUUAACCCUAGAUAGGCAGAAUAAACUUUUAAGCUAGAGUUUGGUAGAGGCAGAGGGAAUUCCCGGUGGAGCGGUGAAAUGCGUAGAUAUCGGGAGGAACACCAAAGGCGAAGGCACUCUGCUGGGCCAAUACUAACACUGAGGCACGAAAGCGUGGGGAGCAAACAGGAUUAGAUACCCGUGUAGUCC